RNAcentral lists this ribosomal RNA (484 nucleotides) under uncultured bacterium. Its description in RNAcentral is "partial 16S ribosomal RNA". It matches the Rfam family "Bacterial small subunit ribosomal RNA", at positions 29 to 507 of the family's 1533-position model. The record is from RNAcentral.
AUUGAACGCUGGCGGCAUGCUUUACACAUGCAAGUCGAACGGCAGCGCGGGCUUCGGCCUGGCGGCGAGUGGCGAACGGGUGAGUAAUGCAUCGGAACGUGCCCAGUAGUGGGGGAUAGCCCGGCGAAAGCCGGAUUAAUACCGCAUACGACCUGAGGGUGAAAGCGGGGGACCGAAAGGCCUCGCGCUAUUGGAGCGGCCGAUGUCGGAUUAGCUAGUUGGUGGGGCAAAGGCUUACCAAGGCGACGAUCCGUAGCUGGUCUGAGAGGACGACCAGCCACACUGGGACUGAGACACGGCCCAGACUCCUACGGGAGGCAGCAGUGGGGAAUUUUGGACAAAGGGGGCAACCCUGAUCCAGCCAUGCCGCGUGCGGGAAGAAGGCCUUCGGGUUGUAAACCGCUUUUGUUCGGGAAGAAAUCCUCUGGGCUAAUACCCCGGGGGGAUGACGGUACCGGAAGAAUAAGCACCGGCUAACUACGUG